Solanum pennellii is the source of this 509-nucleotide long non-coding RNA. RefSeq lists it as uncharacterized. Lineage: Eukaryota; Viridiplantae; Streptophyta; Magnoliopsida; Solanales; Solanaceae. The record is from RefSeq and is a predicted model, not a curated record. The transcript is spliced from 2 exons.
UUGGGAAUAUUGAAAGAAAUACCUGAGAAAUUCCAGACUCCAUUGGAGAGUAUGGGUGAAACUGUAAGGUAGAGAUCAUGCUUAUUAAGAGGUCCUUGUAUUAUUACCUCGCGAAGGAGAUGUGAAGCUUCAAUCCAUUUAUCUUCCUAGAGAUGGAUGUUAUCCAUAUUGUUGAUGUUCAGGAAAUUCCAUUAUAGAAUAAAGGAAAUGUUUCGACAAUACUCUUCCAAAUGUAUGAGUGAUAGGUUCGGGCCGUUGAGGUAUCAUUGAGGCUAAAGCAAGAAGGCUUGGACUAGAAUCUGCAAGUUUUGGUAUGCCCUCUAGUUUGAGGAUGCUACAACACACUCUAUCUUAGUAGUACUUGUAUUGUCUAGUAGACAUUUAUUUCUUUCCUAUUGUUGAAGAUAUUGAUGUAAGCACUAUGUGGCAAUUAUGAAUUUGUAUAAGGGCUUUGCUCGAAUUGUUUGACUUCGCUAGAUGAUUAAUAUGAGACAAAGUAUUUGACUAAA